This is a long non-coding RNA of Pectinophora gossypiella (pink bollworm), 1244 nucleotides long. RefSeq lists it as uncharacterized. Lineage: Eukaryota; Metazoa; Arthropoda; Insecta; Lepidoptera; Gelechiidae. The transcript has 3 exons. The record is from RefSeq and is a predicted model, not a curated record.
UAGCUAAGAUUACGGUUUAAAUGUCAAAAACUGGAUUUGUAUUCUGGCGGCACAUUUUAGUUGACGCCUAAUUUUAAAUUUAGGAAUGACGUUUCUAAAUUACUCAAUUUAGUGCAAUUUAGGUUUAGGCGACAAAAACUACUACUAACAAUAAAAUUAAGCAAAUACUAACAAUAAAUGGAUCUUGUUAUCUUAAAUAAACAAUAAUAAAUAAAUAAAAUAAAAAUAAAAAGCUAUUCUAGCGAACAUUAAUUUGACGUUAAACUCUUAUUCUAAAUUAAUUUUAUACGGUUUUCUAAACUUGCCGGAUAAAAUUAAACUUCUUAAAAUUAAGUACAUGAAUCAGUUUUUCGGAACUUUUUGGGCGCUUUUUAUGAAUUCCGGCCACUGUGAUUUCACCUGCAGAUCAUUCGGAAGACCUUGCCGCUCUCAAAAUAGCUUAAAUAGCGAUAAAGAAUCUUCUAAAUAUACGAAUAGAAGGAUCAACGAGAAAUAUUUGUUUUACGUCGUUUACCGUCGAAGACCAGUAAAAGAAAGAAGACGGCGAGGAGGCCCCAUCGAAACAAAAGACUCUUAGCUGGUAUGAUGAUGUCUCUGGCAUGAGUAUCAUCUUCAAAGUUAAUCCAAACAUUUAUCUAAGAGGACAAUCUAAUUGUGUCAAUCUUAAACACUACUUUCAACUGGACCGUGUGGUGGAUGCUUGAAACAAUGCAGUGCCAGUGAUAUUAACGAUUAAUGUGUAACAUCAACACAUACCUAGCUCUGUGUGUGUCAAAACUGUAAUGACUCCUACCAGGCGCGCAGUGCAGGCUGCACUGCCUGCUUCUUCUUAUCCUUUUGACCUGAAGGACUUAAAAUUACUACAAAAGUAAUGUACCUAUCUAUGGAAUGGAACUACAGAAGUACACUGAAGGAAGGCCUCCACAGCAAGGUGAUAAAUCUUUGACUUUGACAUUUGCAAGUAGUCCUAAUAGCCACUGCAUCCUGAAUUGUAAUUAUGAGCCACCAAUAACAAAAAAGACGUCUGUGACAUGAAUCCCUAAUGUUCUCUCAGAUGGUGACGAAUAAAGAAAGAAGAACCCAGGAGUAUAAAAAAAUACUUACAUACAUACCUACCAUUGUGGUGCUGUACAUACAUACAUAGUCACACCACCAUAACAGGAUGGACUGAGCCGAGCACUACCAAGAAGACCAACUGCAGCCUCUUGUGAUGGACAUAAUGACCAGACUGGUGACAGAUAAGC